AGGUGUAUGAAGCGAACCUGGGGAACUGAAACAUCUAAGUACCCAGAGGAAAGGACAUCAACCGAGACUCCGUUAGUAGUGGCGAGCGAACGCGGACCAGGCCAGUGCCGUUUAUCUUUUGAACUGGAACCAUCUGGAAAGGUGGGCCGAAAUGGGUGAUAGCCCCGUACAGGUAGGAAAGAUUUACGGACUUGAGUAGGGCGGAACACGUGAAAUUCUGUCUGAACAUGGGGGGACCACCCUCCAAGCCUAAGUACUCCUCAACGACCGAUAGUGAACAAGUACCGUGAGGGAAAGGUGAAAAGCACCCCGACGAGGGGAGUGAAAUAGAUCCUGAAACCGAAUGCCUACAAUCAGUUGGAGCCUCUUUAUGGGGUGACAGCGUACCUUUUGUAUAAUGGGUCAGUGACUUAGUCUGGCAAGCAAGCUUAAACCGUUAGGUGUAGGCGCAGCGAAAGCGAGUCUUAAUAGGGCGCUUUAGUUUGUCGGAUUAGACCCGAAACCGAGUGAUCUAGAUAUGAGCAGGUUGAAGGUGCAGUAACAUGCACUGGAGGACCGAACCCACUAAUGUUGAAAAAUUAGGGGAUGACUUGUGUCUAGGGGUGAAAGGCCAAUCAAACUCGGAAAUAGCUGGUUCUCCGCGAAAUCUAUUUAGGUAGAGCGUCGCACGAAUACUCUCGGGGGUAGAGCACUGGAUGGGCUAGGGGGCCUCACCGCUUACCAAACCUAACCAAACUCCGAAUACCGAGAAGUACUAUGCGGCAGACACACUACGGGUGCUAAGGUCCGUGGUGGAGAGGGAAAGAGCCCAGACCGCCAUCUAAGGUCC
This 829-nucleotide ribosomal RNA is filed under the name uncultured bacterium. RNAcentral's name for it is "bacterial LSU rRNA". It matches the Rfam family "Bacterial large subunit ribosomal RNA", at positions 168 to 1047 of the family's 2925-position model. The record is from RNAcentral.